UACGUAGGGGGCAAGCGUUGUCCGGAUUUAUUGGGCGUAAAGAGCGUGUAGGCGGCUAGAUAGGUCCGUUGUGAAAACUCGAGGCUCAACCUCGAGACGUCGAUGGAAACCAUCUGGCUAGAGUCCGGAAGAGGAGAGUGGAAUUCCUGGUGUAGCGGUGAAAUGCGCAGAUAUCAGGAAGAACACCAGUGGCGAAGGCGGCCUUCUGGACUGACACUGACGCUGAGGCGCGAAAGCCAGGGGAGCAAACGGG
Molecule: ribosomal RNA, 253 nt
Filed under: uncultured bacterium
Lineage: Bacteria
Description: partial 16S ribosomal RNA
Rfam family: Bacterial small subunit ribosomal RNA
Source: RNAcentral